RNAcentral lists this ribosomal RNA (460 nucleotides) under uncultured bacterium. Its description in RNAcentral is "partial 16S ribosomal RNA". It matches the Rfam family "Bacterial small subunit ribosomal RNA", at positions 338 to 795 of the family's 1533-position model. The record is from RNAcentral.
CCUACGGGAGGCAGCAGUGAGGAAUAUUGGUCAAUGGGCGGAAGCCUGAACCAGCCAAGUAGCGUGCAGGAUGACGGUCCUACGGGUUGUAAACUGCUUUUAUACGGGACUAACGCGCCUUACGUGUAGGGCUUUGCAUGUACCGUAUGAAUAAGGACCGGCUAAUUCCGUGCCAGCAGCCGCGGUAAUACGGAAGGUCCGGGCGUUAUCCGGAUUUAUUGGGUUUAAAGGGAGCGUAGGCCGCAUGUCAAGCGUGCUGUGAAAUGUCCGGGCGCAACCCGGGCCUUGCAGCGCGAACUGGCGUGCUUGAGUCCGCGGAAAGCAGGCGGAAUUCGUCGUGUAGCGGUGAAAUGCUUAGAUAUGACGAAGAACCCCGAUGGCGAAGGCAGCUUGCUGCAGCGGAACUGACGCUGAUGCUCGAAAGCGCGGGGAUCGAACAGGAUUAGAUACCCGGGUAGUC